This 287-nucleotide ribosomal RNA is filed under the name uncultured bacterium. RNAcentral's name for it is "partial 16S ribosomal RNA". It matches the Rfam family "Bacterial small subunit ribosomal RNA", at positions 773 to 1060 of the family's 1533-position model. The record is from RNAcentral.
GUGGAUUAGAUACCCUGGUAGUCCAUGCCGUAAACGUUGGGCGCUAGGUGUGGGACUCAUUCCACGAGUUCCGUGCCGCAGCUAACGCAUUAAGCGCCCCGCCUGGGGAGUACGGCCGCAAGGCUAAAACUCAAAGGAAUUGACGGGGGCCCGCACAAGCGGCGGAGCAUGUGGAUUAAUUCGAUGCAACGCGAAGAACCUUACCAAGGCUUGACAUAUACCGGAAACAUCUGGAGACAGGUGCCCCGCAAGGUCGGUAUACAGGUGGUGCACGGCCGUCGUCAACU